Molecule: ribosomal RNA, 1275 nt
Filed under: Escherichia coli
Lineage: Bacteria; Pseudomonadati; Pseudomonadota; Gammaproteobacteria; Enterobacterales; Enterobacteriaceae
Also listed under: 1 other name
Description: partial 23S ribosomal RNA
Rfam family: Bacterial large subunit ribosomal RNA
Source: RNAcentral
UCCUGACUGACCGAUAGUGAACCAGUACCGUGAGGGAAAGGCGAAAAGAACCCCGGCGAGGGGAGUGAAAAAGAACCUGAAACCGUGUACGUACAAGCAGUGGGAGCACGCUUAGGCGUGUGACUGCGUACCUUUUGUAUAAUGGGUCAGCGACUUAUAUUCUGUAGCAAGGUUAACCGAAUAGGGGAGCCGAAGGGAAACCGAGUCUUAACUGGGCGUUAAGUUGCAGGGUAUAGACCCGAAACCCGGUGAUCUAGCCAUGGGCAGGUUGAAGGUUGGGUAACACUAACUGGAGGACCGAACCGACUAAUGUUGAAAAAUUAGCGGAUGACUUGUGGCUGGGGGUGAAAGGCCAAUCAAACCGGGAGAUAGCUGGUUCUCCCCGAAAGCUAUUUAGGUAGCGCCUCGUGAAUUCAUCUCCGGGGGUAGAGCACUGUUUCGGCAAGGGGGUCAUCCCGACUUACCAACCCGAUGCAAACUGCGAAUACCGGAGAAUGUUAUCACGGGAGACACACGGCGGGUGCUAACGUCCGUCGUGAAGAGGGAAACAACCCAGACCGCCAGCUAAGGUCCCAAAGUCAUGGUUAAGUGGGAAACGAUGUGGGAAGGCCCAGACAGCCAGGAUGUUGGCUUAGAAGCAGCCAUCAUUUAAAGAAAGCGUAAUAGCUCACUGGUCGAGUCGGCCUGCGCGGAAGAUGUAACGGGGCUAAACCAUGCACCGAAGCUGCGGCAGCGACGCUUAUGCGUUGUUGGGUAGGGGAGCGUUCUGUAAGCCUGCGAAGGUGUGCUGUGAGGCAUGCUGGAGGUAUCAGAAGUGCGAAUGCUGACAUAAGUAACGAUAAAGCGGGUGAAAAGCCCGCUCGCCGGAAGACCAAGGGUUCCUGUCCAACGUUAAUCGGGGCAGGGUGAGUCGACCCCUAAGGCGAGGCCGAAAGGCGUAGUCGAUGGGAAACAGGUUAAUAUUCCUGUACUUGGUGUUACUGCGAAGGGGGGACGGAGAAGGCUAUGUUGGCCGGGCGACGGUUGUCCCGGUUUAAGCGUGUAGGCUGGUUUUCCAGGCAAAUCCGGAAAAUCAAGGCUGAGGCGUGAUGACGAGGCACUACGGUGCUGAAGCAACAAAUGCCCUGCUUCCAGGAAAAGCCUCUAAGCAUCAGGUAACAUCAAAUCGUACCCCAAACCGACACAGGUGGUCAGGUAGAGAAUACCAAGGCGCUUGAGAGAACUCGGGUGAAGGAACUAGGCAAAAUGGUGCCGUAACUUCGGGAGAAGGCACGC